GGUUAACGCUGGCGGCGUGCCUAACACAUGCAAGUCGAACGGUUCUAAGCGCGAGCUUAGGAUAGUGGCGAACGGGUGAGUAAAAGGUAGGAAUCUACCCCUUGGACGGAGAUAGCUACUGGAAACGGUAGGUAAACUUCGAUAAGCCCGAGAGGGGAAAGUGGUGAGACAGCCGAGGGAUGAGCCUACUCUCCAUCAGGUAGUUGGUGAGAUAAAAGCUUACCAAGCCGAUGACGGAUAACCGGUGUGAGAGCAUGAACGGUCACAAGGGCACUGAGAGACGGGCCCUACUCCUACGGGAGGCAGCAGUGGGGAAUCUUGGACAAUGGGCGAAAGCCUGAUCCAGCGACGCCGCGUGGAGGAAGAAGUCCUUCGGGAUGUAAACUUACUUGAACUAGCCGAAUAAAAGGACCUGUGGACACACAGGAGAAGAAAGUAAGGCUAGGAAAAGUACCCGGCUAACUAACGUGCCAGCAGCCGCGGUAAGAGUACUCUAU
RNAcentral lists this ribosomal RNA (497 nucleotides) under uncultured bacterium. Its description in RNAcentral is "bacterial SSU rRNA". It matches the Rfam family "Bacterial small subunit ribosomal RNA", at positions 28 to 534 of the family's 1533-position model. The record is from RNAcentral.